Pecten maximus is the source of this 3114-nucleotide long non-coding RNA. RefSeq lists it as uncharacterized. The transcript has 2 exons. The record is from RefSeq and is a predicted model, not a curated record. Lineage: Eukaryota; Metazoa; Mollusca; Bivalvia; Pectinida; Pectinidae.
CACCUAAAUGUAUAUUACACAGGUACACACGUGUAGGUGUACAUUACACAUGUACACACGUGUAGGUGUACAUUACACAUGUACACAUUUAUAGAUGUACAUUACACAGGUACACACGUGUAGAUGUACAUUACACAGGUACACAGUUAUAGAUGUACAUUACACAGGUACACAUUUAUAGAUGUACAUUAAACAAGUACACAUUUAUAGAUGUACAUUACACAGGUACACAUGUGUAGAUGUAGAGUACACAGGUGUAAAUGCACACAUAUAUGUAUUUGAUGUACAAUAAACAUGUACAGAGUAUUAAUAUAAUAUGUGUUUCAUGUAAAUGUGUACAUGUAUAUUGUAGAGGUACACAUCUGUGUACAAAUUAAUGCGAGUACAGGCACAUAUUACAUUGAACCACUCUUCACAUACUCCAUAUCCACCAUAUCCACAUUGGAGACGAGGAUCCAUGUACUUAAGCAGAAGGCAGGUAACACAGACAAACUUUUGUAUGUACACUGCCGUAACUUGUACGGCAAAAUGCAUAGAAAAUAGUUGAGUAAGAAGCCAUCAGUGAAAAUCUAAAGUAAUGUUAAACUCUCUCUAGUUUUACCUGUAGCUCAGCCCCUCCCUGUAAACACCCCGAAUACAGUAAUAAGACAAACACACAUCCUCUUAUUGGGAACAUUUCUUCACUGAAAGACUGCAGAAGACAUCUAAUAAAGCAUUGUUUGAUCUAGCAGCAUCAAUAAUAAUUAUAUCUUGGUGAUUUAUAUGUAAAUAAAACAAAAACGAAAAAUUGAAAUACACCUGGCAAAUAAAAUGCUUCUAAAUGACCUCAAAGAUUGCCCUUGAUGUUAUUAGAACUACCAACGAAACUGCUUAAAGUGCUUCCUCUGAACUGUCAACACAUUACGACACCAUGCACAUAUUUACAGGUACAUGAAAUACUGUAUCAUCUGAAUACACAGAGAGGAAAUUUGCUUCAAGCCUCUUGGGCCUUUUGGUACGAAAUUUUCAAAAUUUUAGGAAAAAUCAUCAACAUUUCAGCAGAAAAACAUAACGUAUGUACUCUGAAUUUGUAUCACAUGAAAGGGAUGAUGAUAUCAAAAUAAUGUUAGUUUUAUAAUUUUAGUUACAAUUGAUUUUACUGGUAAAGUGUGAGGGAUGAUCAACUGGUACUUCAGUUUUCUCUAUUUCCAACAGAUUUGUUAACAAAGACAUUACUGGCCUAAACACAUACCCUGACAGAGUUUAUGUAUGAAAUAACGACAAAAUGAUGAUAAAAACCCGACUUCAUGAAAUCGACAGUGAGCUAAGCCCGACUUCUCUGACUUGAUUAUGUGGUAAAAUCUCACAUGGACAUUAAACUAUAUGCUGUCAGUUUCACACAAACUGAUGAAAUCCUUAACACGAACAUGCACAAGUAGUAUAUUUAGAAAUGAGUAAGUAUGGCGACUCCCCGUAUGGUCAGAGUAUGGCUGACAAGGUUUCCGUAUGGUGUAGAACAGCGAUGAUUCAACAUAGAAACACACGACAUGGUAUGGGCUAUAUGACAAAAUAAAAGUAGAAAAAACAGGAUGUAUCACAACAACACUAAUAUAUAAAUGCAUAGCUCUUAGACUAAAACUUCAAAAUAAGCAUUACUGACGAGUAGAAAACAGCUGUCCCGUAAGUAGCGAGGUUUGAGCCAGCUAAUGUUGUACAAAAGACACGGUCAUGGCGAUAUAUAUGUAUGUACAAUAAGCUAAGUGUCAUGUGGUUAUUUUGACUGUACAGAUGAAAUACAAAUUUGUGUACACCACAUAAAUAUUCAAUGAAAUAUAUACAGGUAAUACUAGAAUUUAAUGAUUGAUCCACUACUUAUCAGAACUAUGCCAUUUAGGACACUCGCUUCAAGGCCAAGUGGCAUGACACAGAUACCUAGCCCACGGGUCUAUAUGAUUUAACAUAAUAGUUCACAUACAUAUACAAAACGUGAAGUGGGGUUCUGUGUAACGCCCUUUAGCCCCCAGUAACAGCGAAAUGCUGUAGAUAAUUUUGUUACCUUCGAAAUGUGUACAUGUUGACUUACCCAUUGUAAAGGUAAAGCUUUGUCAUUGUACGAAACACAUUGUUAUACUCGUUUACAAUUGUACCGAAACUGUCCGACAGUUCAUGAUUUAAGUGUAGGAUGCUAAUUAUCAAUGCAGCUGUAUGGUGUGGGAGUGAUGCUUAUGGCAUUGCUAGAUUUAUAUAUACAAAAUAUAUAAGAUUACACUCCUAAACAACAGUUUAUCUAAUCAACAAGUUAUAUCAAAUUUCACUAGCAAUAAAUCAAUAUUGCCCCCAACAACAUGUUGUUUACUUACCUAGCAAAUUGUAAUCUUUGUCACAAACAACAUGUUUCUUCAGUAAUAAUUUACAACUGCCCAAACAACAUGUUGUUUAUAUCUUAGCAGAGUGCAAUGUUUGCCACAAACAACAUGUUGUUUCUUCAAUAAUAAUUUACAACUGUCCAAAUAUGUUGUUUUCUUCUCUAUCAAAGCCAAAUCUUUACCACAAACAACGUGUUGUUUCUUCAGUAAUAAUUCAUAACCUCCCAAACAACAUGUUGUCUAAUUUCUCUAGCAUUAUAUUUCACUGUCAUUGCAAACAACAUGUUGUUUUUUCAGCAAUUGUUCAUUACAAUCUCAAAUGUGUGUUGUUUAUGUCUCCAGCAUUAUUUCAUGACCUCCCCAAACAACAAUGAUUGUAAUAUAUUGUUAUCUCAGCAACAAUUCAUGAACAGUAUAUUGCUUGAAAUAUUUUCAGCAAACAAUGUAGCAUAUUUUUACACCUUUACAAGCAAUUCAAAUUGAUAUUUACAAAUCAGCAGACUUUGGUUUUCAUGGCAUUCAUAAAACAUAUAUGUUACUUUUGCUGUCAACGCAAUCAGAUUGGGAAGAUCAUGUUUUCAAAUUUCAAAAAAAUUGAAACAGAUUUCAUAAAAAUGUCAUCGUCAGUGAAAAAACAUGACACCACCAGAAAAUACCAAAACAAAUUACAAACGAAAAUUUUAUGAAAUAAUCUGCAUGUCAACAAAAAUGAGAAUUCUUUGGUUGAAAUUAUGUCAUGGAUAUCAAAGCAACAUUAACGUGACAAAAA